This is a long non-coding RNA of Eriocheir sinensis (Chinese mitten crab), 5840 nucleotides long. RefSeq lists it as uncharacterized. The transcript is spliced from 2 exons. Lineage: Eukaryota; Metazoa; Arthropoda; Malacostraca; Decapoda; Varunidae. The record is from RefSeq and is a predicted model, not a curated record.
GUGUGUGUGUGUGUGUGUGUGUGUGUCAGUCUGUUAUUCUUUGUAUGGGGUGUGUGUGUUUGUGUGUGUGUGAGGGGGGAAGAAAAGUGAGUGUGUGUGUGUGUGUGUGUGUGUGUGUGUGUGUGUGUGUUAUGCUUCCUAUGGGGUAUGUGUGUGUUUGUGUGUGCAUGUGAGAGAGAGGGAGAAGGGUAAGGGUGUGUGUGUGUGUGUAGGAGGGACCUAGGUUAACAUUCUAAUCCUCCCUUCCCUUCCCUUAUAUACCUUUCACCCUUAUAGCAGCUCUCGGUAAGUAUGUAUAUCCAGUAACCUCUCACCCUGAAAUGACAAGACCAGACCACCACCAACAACAACAAAUGCCAAGCCUGUAGAAGGGAGGAGACCAGCUGGAAGACCAAAGAAGUCCUGGUGAUGAUGUGUGGAGGAAGACUUGAGGAGGAACAUGAAGGUAUACAUUAUAACACACAGACCCACGGCUACUGCAUGUGGAGCAAGGCCUGACAUGCUUUGCCCCCUCAGUGGCCGUGGCAGAGCUUACAGUUGUGUUUACUUUAUAUUCACUAGCUGGGUCAUCGAGGUAGGAAGGGUGAUGCCAGGAGAGAGAGAGCGAGAGAAGACAGCCUGGGAGAUAAGGUAGCUUGGAAGAGAGAGGAGGGAAGGGAAAAGAUCGGAGAGAUGAAGAAAGGGAGGACAGAGGGAAAGGAGAGGGAGAUAAUGUAACCAGCUGGGUCGUCAAGGUAGGAAGGACGGAGAUGCCAGAAGAGAGAAAGCCUGGGAGAUAAGGGAGCUUGGAAGAGAGAGAAAGAGAGGAGGGAAAAGAGCAGAGAGAAGACAGAGGGAAUGGAGAGGGAGAUAAAGUAACCAGCUGGGUCGUCGAGGUAGGAAGGAUGAAGAUGCUGGGACCCAUGUGGCAUCUUACAGAUUAGCCUAAGUGACAGUGUGGUAUUAUGGUAUGAGUGUAUCUUUCUGUGAUGUCAUUUCUCUCUUGUUCAUCAGCAGCAUCUGUUCAAGUUAGAUCAGUUAAUGUAUGUGUUUAUCUUCUUGUGAUAUUAUUAUUUACCCACUCGGCAGAAGUCCAAGAUAAGUUCAGGAUAAGUUACUGAUGUGUUUAACCUGAUGGUAGCUGCGGGGAUCAUGUUUCUUAAAGGCCCUUCCCUUUAAGCGAGAAAAAUGAGAAAAAAUCAUCACUCACGCAAACCAUUUCAUAAUAUAUAUCGACGCAUUUGUGAUCAGUUUAUGCAUCAUCUGUUUUUGGGGGUUUAUAUCAUGACAAAAAUUUGGCCCAUCGCUGCUACAUGGUAAAGCCACAAAUUUGGCCCGUCGCUGGUACCGGGUUAAAUCAUUCAUGCUCAAGAGAAUAACAACUGGAAGACAGUGUUGAUUAUACGUCAGUCAGGCACCUCAGCACCAAGUAACCGUCUCGCACACCUUAAGUUACAAGUUUUAUUUCUGUACUGAUUUUGUUUCAGUCAAUUUUCACCCCCAAAGACUGCACUCAUCCUUAUCAAUAAUAUAUCAGUGGCUUCAUCAUCAGUUGUAGUUUUAUAUUCACGCCACUGGAUUGAAAGUGUGCGAGAGGGUUAAUGACAUGACCAUUGUAUCAGGGCAUCAUGUUUUUUGUUCAUUUCAUCCAUAUGAGGGACCCUCCAGCUUCAUGGUCAGAGCACAAGCCUCUUCUCAUUGUAAUAGCACAGAACUAAUACAAGUGUAGUGGUGAUAGUAAUAGUAGUAAUAGUGCCUUUAGUAAUCUUCCACACAAGGGUUGAAAAUAAAGGAUAGCUGGUGAAAAUCCUUUAUUAUUAUUUUUACAUAUUUCGCAGCUCGUGUCUGGGUGGUGAGGGCUUCCGGAGCAGUAGUAGUAAUAGUAACACCUGUAGUAGUUUCCCAAGGGUUAAAAAUAAAGAAAUGCUGGUGAAAAUCCUGUUUAUUAUUUUUUUACAUGUUUUCUGUCCCUGUAUAGGUUGUGAGGGAGGCUGGGCAGACGUAACAUUAGCAGCAGUAGUAGUAAUAACACCUGUAGUAUUUUUCCAAGGGUUAAAAAUAAAGAAUAGCUAGUGAAAAUGCUGUUUAUUAUUUUCUUACAUUUUUUGCUGCCCGUGCCUGGGUGGUGAGGGCUUCCGGAGAGGCUGGGCAGGCCUGUGCACACACCAACACUUACAAACACUACAGUAAUGACACACUAACUCACUGCUAACCUUACCGGGCACAGCUGAGGACUAACACUGAUUCACCUUACUCAUGAAUGGGUAACUGCUGUCCUCAUGGGAAGUCUUGGCUAGGAGGAAGGGGAAGAGAGGGAGAGAAGGAAGUAGGGAAUGGAUUAGUUAGGGAGUAGAUUGGAGGGUGUAGAAGGGAGAGACAUGGCUAGGGAGAGGGAGAGACCGGUAAAGGAGAUUUGAGGGUGAGGAAGGGAGAAAGGAAGGAGUGGAGGGUGAAGGAUGGAGAGAAAGGAACAGAACUGGCGAGGGAGAAGAAUGAAAGAUGUAGAAGGGAGAAAGGGUGAAGGAGGAAGAGGAAAGUGGGAGGAGAAUGGAGGGUGAGGAAGGGAGAGUGAAGUAAGGAAGGCAGAGAGAGAGAGAGGGAGAGAUAAAAUGAACUAGGAGGGUGUGAGGGAGAAUAACCCAGAUGAACUGGCAGGGAGAGAGAGAGAGAGAAAGAAGACAGCCUGGGAGAUGAGGUAGCUUGGAAGGGAGAAGGGAGGACAGAGGGAAAGGAGAGGGAGAUAAAGUAACCAGGAAAGGGAGAGAUGGAAGGGAGGAAGGGAGAGGGGGAGGGAGGGAGAAGACAGCCUGGGAGAUGAACUAGCUUGGAAGAGAGAAAGGAUGGGAGGGAAAAGAGUGGAGAAAGGGAGAGAAGGAUAUAUAUACUGAGAGGGAGAGAAGGGAAGUGAGGAAGGGAGAGAAGACAAUCUGGGAGAUGAACUAGCAGGGAGAGGAGCUAACAUCUUACCCUACAGAAAGUAACCCAUCACAAAGAGUUAAAGGUCAAACAGUUUCUGUCCACAGCUUCAUGCACUUGGAAUUACAAAAACAUUAUUAAUCCUAGCAUCAAUAUGGGCACUUGUAGACACAUGCACACACACACACAUAGGGCCAGUCUUACAGUCCUAUACAGCAAGUUUGUAACCUCUCAAACCAAACACGGAAUACUACUACGAAAAUUCCUUGUGCUACAGUGUUUGGCAUUGAUAUAAAAAGAAGGAAACUGUAGAAAAUGCACAGGAAUUCUCUUUAGUAUCUGGUAUUGGGUAGAAGAGCAGAUCAUUGUGAAUAUAGUUUGGUUUGUGUGCUUACAAUGGCUGUGUGGGAUUGUCAGACUGCCCCAUACACAUACACGCACACAUACAGUAUAGUCCGUGAUAUGUAACCCAAGGCAUCCAUGUACAAAAAUGAUACAAGAUACGGCACAUGUAUUUGACAGCUUGGUAAGUACAGUGUAGUUUAGUCCUUUUUGAAUAUGAACUGUAGUACGGGAUUAUCUAACAGACAAGGAGGAAGGGAGUCUUGGAGCAGGGCUGGAUUGACAUGAGGGGGCAUACAGGGAUAUACCACAGCCCUGGGACAACACAAGACUGUAUAGUGUGAUGUCUCAGGGCCUGGAUUGACAAGAGGGGGCAUACAGGGAUAUACCACAGCCCUGGGACAACACAAGACUGUAUAGUGUGAUGUCUCAGGGCCUGGAUUGACAAGAGGGGGCAUAGAGGAAUAUAUCACAGCCCUGAGACUACCACACAAGGCUUUACAAUAUGUGGUGUCCUUGGGCCUGGAUUGACACAAGGGGCUGUACAGGGAAACACCACAGCCCUGGGACUACCACACAAGGCUUUACAAUAUGUGGUGUCUCAGGGCUGUCUGUGUGCCAUGACUCAAUCCAGCUCUGUUGUUUGGGUUGUAACAAUCUAAGUAUAUUCCUUCAUGACACAUUAAAUUCCAUUCAUUAACUCCAUUUCCAUCACUGACGUACUAGGAAAACGGUUACAUCAUUUUAUCAUCCUAAGAAACCUUUAUUAUGUUUGGGAGAAUACAUAAGAUAUUGUUGAAGGAAAGUAACUUCUCUUUGUUACUUUCAAAAACAGAAGCAGCGAGAAAUAUCACACAAAUCAAAUAUAUAGAAGAAAACCGUCCGUAGAAAUAGAUACUUGCAUAUGUCAUUCCUCCAGCAGCCAACACCACACACACACAGAGAUUUAAUUGACCUCAUUGAAAGCCGAGGUUAUUGGUAUUCACCUCAGGGCUGCAUCAACACCAGGCAAGUCAAGACAGGUCCAUUCCCAGCGUCUCCACCGUACACGACCUGCCAUUCAGAGAUUAUUACGUAUAGACUUCCAAGAGUCCGCAUAAGGUCUUGAAUCAGCUGGUUGUGCCUUGCCUAGUGUGGUGCAGCCUUGGGGGUGCUGCGUAUUUACUCAAACUAAAACGAACAGGGAUUUCUUUGGUCAGGGCAGAUACCAGGCCGGAAGAAUUACUCAUUAUAAUCUAAACUGAUUCUUAAAAAGUGUAUAUUGAUGUACAGUGGCCAGUAAUAUUAGCAGGUUGAAAGAAACUGCAUAGAACAGGCAGUCACCAGGUCAGGAUAGGGAGCUGAACCUUGAUUAACUUCCUAUUUGUUUGUUCAGUAAUGCCAACACAAGCCAGGCCAGAAAAUUACACCUUAGAGUAAAUCAUGUUUAUUGCAGUACAGUGUAGCCAUCCGUCCUUUAGUAAUGCCCAGUAAUUAACAAAACUAGGGUAGAACAGGUACUAACAGAUGCUGGGGCAGAAAAUCACACCUUAGUCAUUUCCUAUAUAUUGUAGUCAAGUGGUCUAUCCUUAGCAUUGCCCAGGAGGUGAACAGAACUUAUAACAGGUAUUCCGUCAGUCAGCACAGAGGUGAGGGCAGGAAUAUACGUAUAUAGCUCAGGAUCUUGAGAGGAAACAAAAGAUAGAAAGGGACAGAAAAUUACAGCCCUUAGGAGAGAUAGGAAGAUUUUAUAUAUAUAUAUAUAUAUAUAUAUAUAUAUAUAUAUAUAUAUAUAUAUAUAUAUAUAUAUAUAUAUAUAUAUAUAUAUAUAUAUAUAUAUAUAUAUAUAUAUAUAUAUGAGGAGGGAGUGUGGUCAGUAAUGUACAAUGGCAUCUACUGUUAGUGAGUUAGAGGAUCCCCCAAGCCAGGUAGCAAAGACCAUACAGCUCUACUAAGGGUUAUAUGAAUGCCUUCUCUCCCCAAGCAGCCACCGUGAGCUGGGACCGAACUUGUAAGCCAAGCACAUUUAGCCCCUCAGCCCCCAACUUUUCGGUCUAUCAGAGGUAUUAUUGAAGCUAUGUAACACUCACUUCUUUGGCCAGGGCACAGAAUUCAAGGCAGACAAAUCUUUAAAAGUAAUUUCCUAACUAUUGCAGUGUAUUAAUGUAAUGUCUUCCUUUAGUAAUGUUCAAGAAUAAGAAAUCUUGACAUAGCAGGUAUUAAUAGACAGUACACUCUUUCCUUUGGCCAGGGCACAGAAUUCAGGGCAGGUUUAGAGUAAUUUCCUAAUUUUAUUGCAUUAAUGUGAUUUCUUCCUUUAGUGAUACCCAACAGAGUAAGAAAUCUCGACAUAGCAGUUGUUUAUAGAUAGUACGCUCUUUCCUCUGGCCAGGGCACAGAAUACAGGGCAGACUUAAGAGUAAUUUCCUAACUUAUUGAAUUAAUGUGACUUCUUCCUUUAGUAAUGUCCAGUAGAGUAACAAAGCUAGAACAGGUAUUGGUAAAUAAAAACUCACUCCUUUGACCAGGGCAGACAAACCUUAAUUUCCUAACUGUAUUAAUGUAACUUCUUCCUUUAGUAAUGUCCUUAUAGAGUAACAAAGCUAGAUAGAACAUGUAUUCAU